Non-coding RNA from Picea glauca (white spruce), 123 nucleotides. Lineage: Eukaryota; Viridiplantae; Streptophyta; Pinopsida; Pinales; Pinaceae. The record is from Rfam.
AUGUACAUUCCUACAAAAUAGUGUUAAUGCAUCGGAUCCCAUUAGAAAUCUGCAGUUAAGCACGCUCAGGCUAGAGUAGUACUGGGAUGAGUGACCACCUAGGAAGUCCUAGUGUUUUACAUG